AAGACCUGACGUGGGGAAAAGUUGGGCAAUCAAGAGAUUGGGCAGUUGUUUCAGUAUAAAGUCCUGAGCAUCAGGCAGAAAUUUGAAGUUCAGUGGAGGAGGCUGAAGCUCCUCAAAGAAGGUUCUUUUUGAAAUUACCGAUCAGUAAAGGCACCUUUGAGACUUUUUACUGUUGAGACCUGUAAAAUGGGAGGGUGUAAUAGUAAAAAGACCGGCAAGAGACUGAGGGAUAUACCUCCCAAUAGUCCCUUAGGAGAACUGUUAGUAAAAUGGGAUUCUAUAGAGGCCACGGAGGGAUUAAAUAAAGUGAAAAUGAUCCAUUAUUGUAUGGAAGUGUGGCCAGAAUUAGAGUUGCAAAGAGGAUAGCCUUGGUGUGAGACAAAAGAUAAGUGGAUGUGCCAACUAUUAAAUAAUUAUCUGACAGCUCGAGGGGAUACUGAUCCUGAGCAAUUAUUGUAUGUAGCUUGCUGGUUAAAGAGCGCUGUUGGGGAUGAAGGGGUGCGAAUUUGUAAGGUACAGAAGAAGAAAGAGGAGAAUGAAGGAGGAGAUGAUAGGACUAGUAAAAGAUGGGAUCCCCUGGAUUAUUUGCCUCCUUCUGCCCCUCCACCUUAUAAUCCUCUUCUUCAAGCACCUCAAAUGGCAGGUCCGGUUCUUCUCCCGGCUGCCAUCUCAUUACCACCUGCUCAAACUCCUCCUUCUACCUCUUCAGCUUCUGCUAUGAUAAACCCAGUAUCUCCUCCAGUAACCACUCCCUCACAACCCCCUUCAGCCCCUCCAGUUCCUUCUGCACUGCCACAAGUGCCUACUCCACCUGCUGCAUUCUCCACCCCUUCUCCAGCUGCACUUAAUAUUCAUUCAGGCUCUUCUCCCCCUCCUAUUGCUGUCCCUUUACCUCCUCCUAGUUGGGGCACAAAUGCCUCCUCGCCCAGUAAACAGCUAUCAGCAAAUACACCUGCUGAUGGGCAGAGCGUUCAGGGUAACCCAGAUAUCCCUCAAAGUAGCUUGGCAUCUGAAGAUGGGCCGUACUGUAGCACCAGAUCCAAGACCUCCAAGGCAGAGAGACUCUUUCCCCUCAGAGAGGUUCCUAUGGGAGGACUAGCAGGAGGUGUUGGCUUUGUGAAUGCUCCUCUAACUGCUUCUGACGUGAGAGGAUUCAAAAAAGAGUUGGGGUAUUUAGUUGAGGACCCAGUGAGCAUAGCCAACCAAGUGGAUCAAUUUCUAGGUCAAAAUAUCUACACUUGGGGGGAGAUGAAUUCCAUCCGGAGUAUAUUAUUUUCCCCAGAAGAGGUCCAGAUGAUUAAAGUGGCUGGCAUAAGAAUUUCAGAGAAAGAUAACAGUCCAGGACCCCAGGUGCCAUCAGGUGAACAGAAAUUGCCACUAACGGAUCCCAGCUGGAACCCUAACCAGGAGGAGGGGAGGAAGGCCAUGANNNNNNNNNNNNNNNNNNNNNNNNNNNNNNNNNNNNN
RNAcentral lists this long non-coding RNA (1466 nucleotides) under Zonotrichia albicollis (white-throated sparrow). RNAcentral describes it as "lncRNA (ENSZALG00000008547.1)". Lineage: Eukaryota; Metazoa; Chordata; Aves; Passeriformes; Passerellidae. The record is from RNAcentral.